This 220-nucleotide unclassified non-coding RNA is filed under the name fungal sp. RNAcentral describes it as "partial internal transcribed spacer region". The stretch from base 1 to 46 matches the Rfam family "Eukaryotic small subunit ribosomal RNA", at positions 1786 to 1831 of the family's 1831-position model. The record is from RNAcentral. Lineage: Eukaryota; Fungi.
AAGUCGUAACAAGGUAUCCGUAGGUGAACCUGCGGAUGGAUCAUUACCAAAGAUUUUGUGAACUGUUUUGAAAACACUGUUGGGUGCUAUAGUUGGGCUAAUGUGGUGAUUCACUAAGCCUGGCUAGACCACCCGACGGUACCACACACGUAUAUAACCCUAAACUGACGUCUACUUUAGUAGUAAAUCAAACUAAAGACCAACGGAUCUCUUGGCUCUC